AGUUGCAUACUUUGGAUGGCACAUCCAUAGUGAGACUCAUGAUCUUUGUGAAGAGACAACAUGCCCUGUGUCUGAUGGCGAGUUCGUAGUGUCACACUCACAAGUUUUACCUGGAUAUACUCCUCCAGUAAGUCACAUCUUUUUUCAACGUGCAAAAUGUUCACAUAUGAAAAUGUUGUGUGGAUAGAAAAUUGUCGACAUGUUAAGCUUAGAACCAAUUGCUAGAAUCACAACCUCAUUUGAAAAUGUUAUCGAGUCUAUGUGGUAUAUAUAUGAUAAUACAAAAUCCCACAUUGACUUGAAGUCAAGGGGGCUAGAGUCUUGUAAGGCCAAGCACAACCCUUCACCCUUGAGGGAUAUUUUCAAGGACAAAACUGUGAGGCCUAAGGACCAAGGCAAGCAAUACACUGAGGUGUGGAUAACUCAUUUUGAUUUUGAUUUGAUUCAUCAUCAUUUGGCACUACAAGGAGGGCACAACCCUCUGCAUCUCCACCAAACUGAAUCUCUAAAUGGGCUAAGGCUCAUCUCUCCAUUGAAUUGGAUCUCCAAAUGGUCUAAGGCCCAUUUCUCCAAAGCCUCCUUGACUAGCGGGGGACAUCUAAUAUAUAAUGAUACAAAAUCCCACAUUGAUUAAGAGCCAAGAGGGCUAGAGCCUUAUAAGGCCAAGCACACCCAUUCCCCCUUGAGGGCCCUUUUCAAGGACAAAAUCGUGAGGCCAAGAGACGAAGCAGACAAUGCCUUGAGGUAUGGAUCGACCCAACUCGAUUUGGAUUGAUUCAUCAUUACUCUGCAACUUAGGAUUUGUUUCUGUGGAAAAGAAUUUGUAUGUGGAUAUAUAUAUAUAUAUUUUUUAGAUAUGAAUUACUUUAUGCUAUUUGAGUGUAACACUGAAAAUCUAAGUGAAAAUUAUUAUCUGGCAUUUUAAGUAGAUUGGAGAUGAAAUUAUUUUCGUUCUAUAAAAAAAAUGUGAAUUCUUUGAGAUUAUUAGUUGAAUAGGAGAGAAUUACACCAUUGAGGGUUUAAUUAUGGUGGCAACUGGCUGUGGUCAUGCAUUAGUUUGCCAUUUAACUAAUAAAACUGUUUCCAUUGAUCAAUGUGCCUAUGCAUGACAAAUACUGGAAAAUGAAGGCAAAUAUUCUCCAUAAAAUAAAUGUAGUAGUAGUUGCUUAAAUUGUUACCUUGGAAUGAAUACCCUUUGUUAAAUUACUUUUGAACUAUGAAUCAUGGUUGAUGCUCUUAGUUAAUCUGUCGCCCUCCUGAUGAGUUGUGCUACUUGAGAUUGCUGGUUUGAUCCACAUUCACAUGGAUACACACAAUGUAUGGUGUGAUACACACAUGCAUAUAUUAUAUGCACAUAACUCACUGGCUGGUGUAUAAAAAUACAACAUGAUGUGCAAUUGUUCAGCUGUUAUCCAGUGCUCAAGGAUUUUAGGCUCGGUAUAGUUUAAUGUUGUCUUCCUGUCAAAAUAUAGGUUAUUGUGAUGUAAACUGCUCUGGAGGCUCUAAUAUUUGAGCCUUUGUCAGCUGUUUGAAUUUGCUUGGAACUUUGGCCAAAUAGUUCACAAGGCCAGGAGAGAGGCAUGUUUUAUUAAGGGUGAAAACCAAGAGGCUGGAGAAUGGAUUCCUCAAGAUUGGUGUGUUAGCUUUAAAUGUAAUAUAUCCCUUGACAAAAAAUUCUUUCCAUCCUUUCUCUCUUUCUUUUCCUGACCAAAACAAUGGCCUCUUUUGGCUUAAGAUGCAUAGAGCUCACCAUUACUUUCGAAAGUCAAAUGGCUGGUAGAAGAUACAUCUUUGUUCAUCAGUACAAGACUCAAUCAAUCAUGGACUAGCUACUUCACUUCAUAUUCUUUGUGAGUCUUGUAUUUGAUCCUUUAUAUGAAAGCACUAAACGAUAGGUAUUUUUGCAAAUUUCAUAUCUUGCCUGCAAUCAUAGAUGAAUAGAUGUUUCAGCUGUGCUUAUCCUUCUUCGAGAAGCACGGCUGCCCUCCUAGUUUCUCAUAUCAACAGAAAUCGGACUCCUAAUUUAGUUUUAUUGAUGGAUUGAUCCUCCUGCUAAACCUGCUUUUCCUCUUAUAAUUCCUAUACCCUGAACUUCCUUAUAUUUUCUCCCUCUAAUAAAUUGAACACUAACAACAGAGAAAGGCCUAGGACAGAAUACUAUAAAUCUUGCUUUGUUAUUCUAUAUUCUCUGGUCCAUCUUUAGUUUACUACAUAAAUAAGUUAUUGACUAUUGGUCUUCAAAUAGUUGUGGGUUCCAAAGUUUACUUGUACAACUCCUUAGCAGAUAUAUUCAAUAUUGUGUUUACCUGUAGACUUUUCAAUUGACCUUAGUUUGUCAGCAAUAUGUGCUAUAUUUGGAUAUACAGGUUAUGAGUUUUAAAAUGUUUGAUGCAAUAUAGUUGUGUUUGUCAUCAAAGAAAAGGAAUGAAUUUACUUUUAUCUACCUUGAUUCAUGUCACUAAUCAUUAUUGGUUUCUGCAGGGUUCAUACUCUCUUAAGAUGAAGAUGUAUGAUGGUAAAAACCAUGAAUUAACUUGCAUUGGAUUUGACUUCAGUAUUGGGUUUGCAUCAUCCGUUGCAGAUAGUUAAGCACCUGAAGAUUUGCUGAGUCUAUUAUCACCAUAGAAAUAGCAUGUACGAAGAAAUCUCUAUAUCUUGUACCUUGCUGCUACUUUACCUUUAUUGCUACAGUGUGUUGUGUAAUAUGUGAAUCGUAAGCUUUCAUGAGAUUAGGACUAAUGCAGUGGUUACUUUUAUUGAGGAUCUACUGUAAAUGUCCAUUCUUUCGCCCCUUAACAUAUGGUAUGAUUGCAUGAUAAUGGCCGUCUAUAUGUCAAUUUGAAAGUAUCCUCCUGCAUUAAGGUAGGUGGGAGAGUAAAAGCGUACAGUAGUUAGCAGUGAUCCUUGAAUGAUCAAAUGUCUGGUGUGGAUAUCUGUUUGCCUAUUGGAGUAGGAUCAUAAAUCAGAUGUGAGAACGCGAGGGAGCAUUGAUCCCUGUACUCGCUUGAAAGACUGUCACCCUAUUAUAUUGGAUUGUGCUGUGUGCUUUGAUACGGAUUUGCAUAAGGG
RNAcentral lists this unclassified non-coding RNA (3069 nucleotides) under Hevea brasiliensis (rubber tree). The record is from RNAcentral. Lineage: Eukaryota; Viridiplantae; Streptophyta; Magnoliopsida; Malpighiales; Euphorbiaceae.